Molecule: ribosomal RNA, 497 nt
Filed under: uncultured bacterium
Lineage: Bacteria
Description: partial 16S ribosomal RNA
Rfam family: Bacterial small subunit ribosomal RNA
Source: RNAcentral
GAUGAACGCUGGCGGCGUGCCUAAUACAUGCAAGUCGAGCGAACAGACGAGGAGCUUGCUCCUCUGAUGUUAGCGGCGGACGGGUGAGUAACACGUGGAUAACCUACCUAUAAGACUGGGAUAACUUCGGGAAACCGGAGCUAAUACCGGAUAACAUGUUGAACCGCAUGGUUCAACAGUGAAAGACGGUCUUGCUGUCACUUAUAGAUGGAUCCGCGCCGCAUUAGCUAGUUGGUAAGGUAACGGCUUACCAAGGCAACGAUGCGUAGCCGACCUGAGAGGGUGAUCGGCCACAAUGGAACUGAGACACGGUCCAGACUCCUACGGGAGGCAGCAGUAGGGAAUCUUCCGCAAUGGGCGAAAGCCUGACGGAGCAACGCCGCGUGAGUGAAGAAGGUCUUCGGAUCGUAAAACUCUGUUAUUAGGGAAGAACAAAUGUGUAAGUAACUAUGCACGUCUUGACGGUACCUAAUCAGAAAGCCACGGCUAACUACGUG